UCGUGUGACUUUUCCUUUAACCUCUCAAUGCCUUGUUAGGCCCACCUGUUUUCAAUCGACUCUUCCUGGCAACAGUGUGGAAGCUGUGUCAACUUUGCAGAUGUGUUCAGGCAGUUGGAGGCUGAAUAGAAGCUAGAUAACACUAUGCUGAGAGUGUCAGAGUUCAUGUCAUAAGUCUGAACAAGGGCUGUGUGCUCCACUGUUACUGAGAGAAGCCUGUGCAGAUGCAGAUGGUUGUCUCUUCUUCACACCCUACGACUGCCAAUCUACUGCUGUGGUUCUUUUCCUGUGGUACAAGUCUUAUAUACAGAAGCAAUGUGGCAUCUGGCUGCUGGUU
This is a long non-coding RNA of Gavialis gangeticus (Gharial), 337 nucleotides long. RefSeq lists it as uncharacterized. NCBI's taxonomy places the organism in Eukaryota, Metazoa, Chordata, Crocodylia, Gavialidae. The record is from RefSeq and is a predicted model, not a curated record. The transcript has 3 exons.